AGAACGAACGCUGGCGGCAUGCCUAAUACAUGCAAGUCGAACGAACACUUCGGUGUUAGUGGCGCACGGGUGCGUAACGCGUGGGAAUCUGCCCUUGGGUUCGGAAUAACAGUUGGAAACGACUGCUAAUACCGGAUGAUGACGAAAGUCCAAAGAUUUAUCGCCCAGGGAUGAGCCCGCGUAGGAUUAGCUAGUUGGUGAGGUAAAGGCUCACCAAGGCGACGAUCCUUAGCUGGUCUGAGAGGAUGAUCAGCCACACUGGGACUGAGACACGGCCCAGACUCCGUACGGGAGCAGCAGUAGGGAUAUGACAA
RNAcentral lists this ribosomal RNA (314 nucleotides) under uncultured soil bacterium. RNAcentral describes it as "bacterial SSU rRNA". It matches the Rfam family "Bacterial small subunit ribosomal RNA", at positions 26 to 371 of the family's 1533-position model. The record is from RNAcentral.